UAGGCUUGACAUCCCAAGAAGAUAGUAGAGAUACUGUUGUGUCUGCUUGCAGAAACUUGGUGACAGGUGCUGCACGGCUGUCGUCAGCUCGUGUCGUGAGAUGUUGGGUUAAGUCCCGCAACGAGCGCAACCCCUAUCCUUAGUUGCUAACAGUUAGGCUGAGCACUUUAAGGAGACUGCCUGGGCAACCAGGAGGAAGGUGGGGACGACGUCAAGUCAUCAUGGCCCUUAUGCCUAGGGCGACACACGUGCUACAAUGGAUAGGAUAAAAAGAAGCGAUACGGUGACGUGGAGCAAAUCUCAAAACCUAUUCUCAGUUCGGAUUGUAGUCUGCAACUCGACUACAUGAAGUUGGAAUCGCUAGUAAUCGUGGAUCAGCCAUGCCACGGUGAAUACGUUCCGCGGGUCU
Molecule: ribosomal RNA, 409 nt
Filed under: uncultured bacterium
Lineage: Bacteria
Description: bacterial SSU rRNA
Rfam family: Bacterial small subunit ribosomal RNA
Source: RNAcentral